UACGUAGGGUCCGAGCGUUGUCCGGAAUUACUGGGCGUAAAGAGCUCGUAGGUGGUUUGUCGCGUUGUUCGUGAAAACUCACAGCUCAACUGUGGGCGUGCGGGCGAUACGGGCAGACUGGAGUACUGCAGGGGAGACUGGAAUUCCUGGUGUAGCGGUGGAAUGCGCAGAUAUCAGGAGGAACACCGGUGGCGAAGGCAGGUCUCUGGGCAGUAACUGACGCUGAGGAGCGAAAGCGUGGGGAGCGAACAGG
Molecule: ribosomal RNA, 253 nt
Filed under: uncultured bacterium
Lineage: Bacteria
Description: partial 16S ribosomal RNA
Rfam family: Bacterial small subunit ribosomal RNA
Source: RNAcentral